Molecule: non-coding RNA, 135 nt
Organism: Triticum aestivum (bread wheat)
Lineage: Eukaryota; Viridiplantae; Streptophyta; Magnoliopsida; Poales; Poaceae
Source: Rfam
CAACUACUCCCUUUGUCCCAAAUUUCUUGUCUUAGAUUUGUCUAGAUACGGAUGUAUCUAAUACUAAAAUGUGACUUGAUACAUCUGUAUCUAGACAAAUCUAAGACAAGAAUUUUGGGAUGGAGGGAGUACUUU